UAGGGAAUCUUCCACAAUGGACGCAAGUCUGAUGGAGCAACGCCGCGUGAGUGAAGAAGGUUUUCGGACCGUAAAGCUCUGUUGUUGGUGAAGAAGGAUAGAGGUAGUAACUGGCCUUUAUUUGACGGUAAUCAACCAGAAAGUCACGGCUAACUACGUGCCAGCAGCCGCGGUAAUACGUAGGUGGCAAGCGUUGUCCGGAUUUAUUGGGCGUAAAGCGAGCGCAGGCGGAAGAAUAAGUCUGAUGUGAAAGCCCUCGGCUUAACCGAGGAAUUGCAUCGGAAACUGUUUUCUGAGUGCAGAAGAGGAGAGUAGAACUCCAUGUGUAGCGGUGGAAUGCGUAGAUAUAUGGAAGAAUACCAGUGGCGAAGGCGCUCUCUGUCUGCAACUGACGCUGAGGCUCGAAAGCAUGGGUAGCGAACAGGAUUAGAUACCCUGGUAGUCCAUGCCGUAAACGAUGAGUGCUAAGUGUUGGGAGGCUUCCGCCUCUCAGUGCUGCAGCUAACGCAUUAAGCACUCCGCCUGGGGAGUACGACCGCAAGGUUGAAAC
RNAcentral lists this ribosomal RNA (550 nucleotides) under uncultured bacterium. Its description in RNAcentral is "partial 16S ribosomal RNA". It matches the Rfam family "Bacterial small subunit ribosomal RNA", at positions 355 to 900 of the family's 1533-position model. The record is from RNAcentral.